GAACCUUACCUGGGCUCGAAGCGCAGUGGAAUGGGGUGGAAACAUCCCCGCCCGCAAGGGCCGCUGCGGAGGUGCUGCAUGGCUGUCGUCAGCUCGUGUCGUGAGAUGUUGGGUUAAGUCCCGCAACGAGCGCAACCCUUAUCUCUAGUUGCCAUCGGGUCAAGCCGGGCACUCUAGCGAAACUGCGCCGGAUAACGGCGAGGAAGGUGGGGAUGACGUCAAGUCCUCAUGGCCUUUAUGUCCAGGGCUACACACGUGCUACAAUGGCCGGUACAAACCGUCGCAAACCCGCGAGGGGGAGCUAAUCGGAAAAAGCCGGCCUCAGUUCGGAUUGGAGUCUGCAACCCGACUCCAUGAAGCUGGAAUCGCUAGUAAUCGCAGAUCAGAACGCUGCGGUGAAUACGUUCCCGGGCCUUGUCACACCGA
Molecule: ribosomal RNA, 426 nt
Filed under: uncultured soil bacterium
Lineage: Bacteria
Description: bacterial SSU rRNA
Rfam family: Bacterial small subunit ribosomal RNA
Source: RNAcentral